GGGGACGUAGCUGAAUUGGUAGAGCAAUUACAUUUAACUCUUUAAAGUGGAACUUGAUAAUGUCUGUUUGCUGCUGAAACAAAGAUUGAGGUUCGAUUCCUCGCUUCUCCA
Molecule: transfer RNA, 111 nt
Filed under: Daucus carota subsp. sativus
Lineage: Eukaryota; Viridiplantae; Streptophyta; Magnoliopsida; Apiales; Apiaceae
Rfam family: tRNA
About the family: Transfer RNA (tRNA) molecules are approximately 80 nucleotides in length.
Source: Rfam by way of RNAcentral